This is a non-coding RNA of Phalacrocorax carbo (great cormorant), 1109 nucleotides long. The record is from RefSeq and is a predicted model, not a curated record. NCBI's taxonomy places the organism in Eukaryota, Metazoa, Chordata, Aves, Suliformes, Phalacrocoracidae.
GGGCUGUAGGGCUGCUGGUUUGGGAGCUUUUCCUGCUCUCUGGGGUUUUUCAGGCUGUCCCGAGGAUUUGCAGAAAGGGUGAUUGAAGCCGCCUUCUCUCCCUUUAGUUGUAAAGAGGUGGCAAGGGAAUUGCGUGAUCAAAGGCUGAAAUCGCCCCCCGACCGCCUGCCUGCUUCUGAGAUCCGAAGUGGCUUCUCACACGCUGAAAUACGGCUCGGUGAAGCUGAGCCGGAGGAAGGCUGAAGUUCUCACGCUAUCUCAGGACACAGCUUGGAGAGACACGCUGGGACUCAAAAUGAGCUGGUGUAUCUUGUUUUUUACGAACACUUCAGACAACGGUGAGGGUACAGGCUGGCUGGGGAGAAACUGAGUUCAUGGGUGCCCGUAACCAGUUAUUGGAACAAAGGUUGUGCUCUGCAUGUGUCAGUUCUUGAGUCAUCUGGGCACUGAGGAGACAGCCAAGAAAGAUCUAGGAAGACAUAUUCGAAUGGUCUUAUCAGAUGCUAUGCUAAAAAGCGCAACAAUGUAAUGUGACUUGUUUGCAAGGUUUGGAAUGAAAGCAAUGAAGCAGAGCUAAUUUCAGUAAGCUGUUAUCACUGCUUUGAGUAACACGCUUGUUCAGUUAUAUCAGGCAUGGUUGUUUUGUCAUGCAUUAGCGUUUGGUCACUGUAGUAAAAGAACAUGCUGUAUAUGUAGGUGGAGGUAUAAAUACUCUUAAACUGUUGACACAGGAGCACACCACCAGUGUUUAUUGAGUUGUUAUUGCAUGCAGUGUUAUCUAGAGGCUCUAUAUUUUAUCAGUGCCCUCUUUUGUUAGGGGCUGCACGUGAGCGAUUUUUGCCUUUGCCUUAUGGUACAAGUAACCAAUACAUCCAAAUGACUGAUGUAUCCUCUUUAUAUAAAAGUCAGGGUUGGAGGAAUUAAAUGCUAUUCCUGAAGAAAUGUGGUAACCCAGAAACUGAAAAGCAUUUUUUAUUUUUUGGCUCCUAAUUUUUAAAUAUAUGAGAUGUGGUUAUUGAGGACAAUGGUAGAGCAACAUUUUGAAACACUUUUUUUGUAGUAUUAGUAGAAAGGUUUUUAUUGAUCAUAAUUUCCCCAUCAAAGCAUCU